UACGAGGGGGGCAAGUGUUGUUCGGAUUUACUGGGUGUAAAGGGAGUGUAGGCGGUUCGAUAAGUCAGGGGUGAAACUCCCACGCUUAACGUGGGAACUGCCUUUGAUACUGUCAGACUUGAGUGUUGGAGAGGGUAACGGAAUUUCAGGUGUAGCGGUGGAAUGCGUAGAUAUCUGAAAGAACACCAGUUGCGAAGGCGGUUACCUGGCCAAACACUGACGCUGAGGCUCGAAAGCCGAGGGAG
Molecule: ribosomal RNA, 245 nt
Filed under: uncultured bacterium
Lineage: Bacteria
Description: partial 16S ribosomal RNA
Rfam family: Bacterial small subunit ribosomal RNA
Source: RNAcentral